AUGGGAGGGGUCUGUGGCCC
RNAcentral lists this unclassified non-coding RNA (20 nucleotides) under Chlamydomonas reinhardtii. Its description in RNAcentral is "small RNA Cre_0766". Lineage: Eukaryota; Viridiplantae; Chlorophyta; Chlorophyceae; Chlamydomonadales; Chlamydomonadaceae. The record is from RNAcentral.